This 253-nucleotide ribosomal RNA is filed under the name uncultured bacterium. RNAcentral describes it as "partial 16S ribosomal RNA". It matches the Rfam family "Bacterial small subunit ribosomal RNA", at positions 524 to 776 of the family's 1533-position model. The record is from RNAcentral.
UACGUAGGGUGCAAGCGUUGUCCGGAAUUAUUGGGCGUAAAGAGCUCGUAGGCGGUUUGUCGCGUCUGCUGUGAAAACUCGGGGCUUACCCCCGGGCCUGCAGUGGGUACGGGCAGACUAGAGUGCGGUAGGGGAGACUGGAAUUCCUGGUGUAGCGGUGAAAUGCGCAGAUAUCAGGAGGAACACCGGUGGCGAAGGCGGGUCUCUGGGCCGUAACUGACGCUGAGGAGCGAAAGCGUGGUGAGCGAACAGG